Molecule: long non-coding RNA, 1554 nt
Filed under: Marmota monax (woodchuck)
Lineage: Eukaryota; Metazoa; Chordata; Mammalia; Rodentia; Sciuridae
Source: RNAcentral
AAAGCAGUAGCACACAUAAGCACUUCAUAUAGAGAUAAAAAGGUAAAUGUGGAAAGAAUGAUGCCUCCAGGAAGCAGACUUGGGGGGAAAUAGAAGAGGGGAAGCUGCUGUUUCUCUUAAGAGACCCUAUAGGAUUAUUGUGCUUUGGGUAAUGUAACUAUGCAUAGCUUUGCAUGUAUAACUUUGAUAAAAUAUGUUGAGCAAAAACAAAAAGAAAUAUAAGUGUGUAUUUGAAAUAUAUGAAUAGCAUACAAAAUUUAUUGGUGGAAUGGAUAUGAAACAGGAAAAAUCCAAACUUGAGAGUACAAAGGAAGAAUUCCCCUUAGAUAUAGGGGAUUAUUUAUGCUUAUUUCUGUCAUUAUUGAUUUUACUUUUUGUUUUCAGUGGGAUAAUUUAAGAGUCUCUGGUUUUCAGAUUCAUUGCUGUAGCAAGAGGAGAUUGGAUAUAAAUUAAAUUAAGGUUCAGUUUGUUCUCUGUUUUAUUGUGUGCCUUCUUGAAGAAGAGAACAGGUUAAUUUAAUAUAAUAGGUAACAAAGUAAAUACUGUUGUUUGUUGAAAUUGAUGAUGAAGGUUGAAAAUUUGUGAUAGUCAGAUGAUCUCUUUUGCUGGCCUUGGAUUCUUAAGAUAGGUAUUUAACUAUAUUCAGAAGAGGGCAUAUGUUGUUCAGCUUCCCGUUUGAUUGCAAAGUAAAUGUCACACUGUCCUACCUCUACCAGCACUGUAGGACCACAACUUGGGCACAUGUUCUGGUGGAGUGAGUGAGUGCUCCCUGUGCUGCUGCACAAGAUAAUGGAGGAAAGAGGGAAAGAACAGCGAGGGAAGAUAGUGCUGAUAGGCUAGCUCUCCUGUGAUUGGCUUGGCUUCCGAGACUUAUGGGAGACAGCCAGAGGCCUCAUUAAGGUUUCAUUGGGAAACUUAACUUUCCCUCAAGUUUAAAAUAAAGGAACAUGACCCACACCAUGAAGUUUUUCUUGGGUGGUUUGUACAAUAACUGAACUUGAUUUUACUAUGAUACUCCUGGGACUUUCUGCUGCUCUAAGUUUUAUCAGUAAAUGUACUACACUAAUGUGGAAAUGAGUUCAGUUCACCAAACUAAACAUUUGACUUUGACCUUGAAACUAAUACUGUGCACCUACAUUAUGAAGUUGAAAUGAGUUAAUCUUGUUAACUUAAAUCAGAUGCUAUCUAGUUGUGUUUUUAUUAUAUAGUUUAACCUCCGAAAUAUGCAAGAAUAUGAAAAAGGUUACACAAAGGGAUGUCUGAAACAUAGUAUGUAAAUAUACAACCUCAGUGCUAUUGCAUAGUACUGCACUAGGAGAGCCAAGAACAACCAUGAAUCAUCAGAUACAGUCUAGGUCUGGACUGGCACAGCCUGUCUGCUUUUUUAGAAGAUAGGUGGAAACAAGACAUGUUUUCAUAUCAUUAUUGGAAUAAACUAUCAAAACUUUUGUUUACUAAUUAAUGAUCUGUCUUUACACAUUUAAAUUAAUAUCCUUGUGUUAUAUAUUUAUAAAGUUAUUAUCUUACUUUGCUUGGAUAUAGAUAGUAUUUUUC